GAUCCUGGCUCAGGACGAACGCUGGCGGCGUGCUUAACACAUGCAAGUCGAACGAUGAAGCGGUGCUUGCACCGUGGAUUAGUGGCGAACGGGUGAGUAAUACGUGAGUGACCUACCUUUGACUCUGGGAUAAGCCUGGGAAACUGGGUCUAAUACCGGAUACGACCAAUCUCUGCAUGGGGUGUUGGUGGAAAGCGUUAUGGAGUGGUUUUAGAUGGGCUCACGGCCUAUCAGCUUGUUGG
Molecule: ribosomal RNA, 242 nt
Filed under: uncultured bacterium
Lineage: Bacteria
Description: partial 16S ribosomal RNA
Rfam family: Bacterial small subunit ribosomal RNA
Source: RNAcentral